AAAAAAAAAAGGUGGUACAAAAUACAUGUUAGAAUUUUAUAAUGGUUUGAUGAACAAAAAAUAAAAUAAAGAUAGUGUAAUGAUAAUUUUUUUUAAUUAUUAUUAUAAUUAAAAAAUAAGUACUUCAAAUAAUAAAAUUGGCUGCUCUAGACAGCUCAUUUUGAUAUGAUAAAGGAUCAUCGUGUUGAUACUUAGUUUCCCAUUCAAUUUGAACUAAAUAAUUGAGAAAAAAAUAAUUAUAAUUUCCUCUCUAUAUUUUUUUUUGAAACAUCACAUGCUAUUCAUAACAGUAAUUUUCUAACUAACGGGUGAUUGUGGCGUUAAAGUUGCAUAAUACUUAUCGCUCUAGGAAUGAUAAAAUGGGUCAACAAUUCGUGUUCGUGUUAUGUUAAAUUAGUGUCGUGUCAAAUUUAGAUAUAUCCAAACACAAUUGAUCUAAUAAUCGUGUCAAAAUAUUGAGACUUUAACAUAAUAUAGAAAAUAAACAAA
This 489-nucleotide long non-coding RNA is filed under the name Citrus x clementina. RNAcentral's name for it is "Citrus clementina (C. clementina) long non-coding RNA (CCLE_LNC003633)". Lineage: Eukaryota; Viridiplantae; Streptophyta; Magnoliopsida; Sapindales; Rutaceae. The record is from RNAcentral.